GUAAAACAAGGGGAUAGCCAUUCGGAAUCCAACGAUAUCACCAAUCUUAACGGUCAUAUCAUUACCAAUAUUUUAGAAACCACCCGCGCAAAAACUCAACUAGACCAAAGAAUACUUGACCAAACAUAAUUACGACGAUACCAUCGCCUAUAACAUAUUACCAUUUUAAAUGUAUAUACAAUAUAUGAAAAAUGUGUUCAUAUAAUCAAGAAUGAUUCAAUUAUUGAGUGUGUGUUUGGUUCAGCUUCUGAAACGUGGAUCUGGGUCUCAAAAAUGGAUCUGAGUCCAAAACGUGGAUCUUCCAUGCUUUGAAGAUGUUUGGGUACCUCAAUCUGAAAAUUGAUUCAAGAUCAAAACGUGGAUCCAGCUGAUGCAAGCAAGAGUAACUUCUCCAUCAAAUACAAUCGAUUCUCCAUUAUCACGUGAAGGUGGGCAUGGAAGAAUUUCAGUUUUUCCUAUUUGCCCCUUACGAAGUCUGGUUCAUGGAA
RNAcentral lists this long non-coding RNA (488 nucleotides) under Lotus japonicus. RNAcentral describes it as "long non-coding RNA (LJAP_LNC001956)". Lineage: Eukaryota; Viridiplantae; Streptophyta; Magnoliopsida; Fabales; Fabaceae. The record is from RNAcentral.